Molecule: RNA transcript, 3128 nt
Organism: Gossypium arboreum
Lineage: Eukaryota; Viridiplantae; Streptophyta; Magnoliopsida; Malvales; Malvaceae
Gene name: protein ROOT HAIR DEFECTIVE 3 homolog 2-like
Exons: 11
Source: RefSeq, a predicted model, not a curated record
GGGUUUCUCUAUUUUCCUCCUUUCUACCCACUUGAUCUCUCUCACUUUGUCUUUCUAUCUGUUUUUUUUCAACAUUUUAAUUGGUGUGUAUUACUGCAGAUAUGGAAUGCAGUUAGUAAACCUAAGUCCCAUAAAGAUACUCCCCUCAGUGAAUUCUUUAAUGUGGAGGUCACUGCUUUAUCAAGCUUUAAAGAAAAAGAGGAUUUGUUCAAAGAGCAGGUUGCUCAACUAAGGUAGCACUUUUUCAAAUCUAUUUUUCUGGGAGGAUUUGCUGGUGAUAGACAGGGUGUUGUCCCUGCCGCCGGAUUCUCUUUUAGUGCACAACAGACAUGGAGAGUUAUAAAAGAGAACAAGGAUCUUGAUCUUCUUGCUCACAAGUAAUGGUUGCCAUAGUGCGUUGUGAAGAGAUUGCAAAUGAGAAACUCCAUCACUUAUCCUCUAAUGAGAUAUGACAUAGAGACAUUCUACUUCGAUCAUGGUGUAAGAAAUGCAAAGCGGAAACAACUGGAAUCAAAAGCUUUAGAUUUUGUGCAUCCUGCUUAUCUUAACCUGCUUGGACAUUUUCACUUCAAAACACUUGUGAAGAUUUCAAGUCAAUAUUGGAACAGAUGCUGAGUAAAGGAGAAGGAUUUGCAGCUUCUAUUUGUACAAGUACUGAGUCUUGUAUGCUUGAAUUUGACCAAGGAUGUGCAGAUGCUGCCAUCAAACAGGCUAAUUGGGAUGCUUCUAAAGUAAAGGAAAAACUUCACCGUGAUAUUAAUGCACAUGCAUUAUCUGUUCAAGAUGCAAAAUUGUCUGAAUUGAUGGUUAGCUAUGAGAAACAACUUGGUCAAUCACUAUCCGAACCAGUGGAGUCUCUAUUUGAUAAUGCCGGAAGAGACACCUGGGCUUCAAUAAGAAAGCUUCUUACACGUGAGACUGAGAUUGCCCUAUCAGAGUUUUCAGCUGCCAUUUCUAGUUUUGGGUUAGAUCGAUCGACAGUUGAGAAAAUGCUGCAAGAUUUGAAGGAUUAUGCGAGAAAUGUGGUAGAGAGGAAAGCAAGAGAAGAAGCUGGAAAAGUUCUGAUCCGCAUGAAGGAUAGGCAGGAAAACCUUAAUUUUCAUAUUCCUUAAGAUUGGCAGUAUUGAUGAGAAUAAUCUGUCAUAUUUAUGGCUUUCUUGCCUGUAUCAGGUUCUUAACUGUCUUCAGUCAUGACAAUGAUUCAAUGCCAAGAGUUUGGACUGGAAAGGAAGACAUUAAGACAAUUACUAAGGAUGCUCGUACUGCUGUAUUUUUCUGGAUUAUGUCAUGAGUGCUACUUUCAGUCUAUCAUCAUUUUGCAUGCUGCAUCAAGGAUCUGAGACUUUUUACUAUUGUUAUAUUUGCAGUCUUUGAGUUUGUUGUCUGUUAUGCCAUUCGAUUGGACGGGAAACCAGAAAUUGAAAACGUACUGUUUUCAUCCCUUGUGGAAUAAACUGUGAUUGCUGUAUCUUCAGUGGACAGAAGUAUUACUACUUCAGACCCUCUUGCCUCUAGUUCAUGGGAGGAGGUUUCUCCAAAAAGUAUCCUGAUCACACCAGUUCAAUGCAAGUCAUUGUAGAGACAGUUUAAAGCAGAGACUGAGUAUACAGUUAAGCUAUUUCAGCGCAGGAGGUUUACAAGCAAAGUAACAGCUGGUUACCUCCCCCAUGGGCAAUUGUGGCAAUGGUUGUCCUUGGAUUUAAUGAAUUUAUGCUCCUUUUAAGGUAACUUAAUCUAAUCUAGAGUCCAUGGUUCAUCUCAUCCCCUCCUAUUUUAGUUCUGUUUUUGAUGGGUUAAAGGGAUGAAGACCCUGGCUUUUAACAGGAGCUGGUAUUAGUAGUCUUCGGGGACUGCCGUGCUCAAAGGCAGUGGGUGAACCUACAGGGCAAGACCUCAGGUUCAGCUUGGAUAUAUCUGAAAUCUGAUUCCUAGCAUAAUUCAAAAUACUAGCAUGGGUUUUCCUGGUUUACUUUCUACUAUCAUGUUAAUUGUUGUGCUCAUAAUGCUUCUCGCAAACAGGAAUCCUCUCUAUCUAAUGGGUCUAUUUGUUGUGUAUUUACUUUCAAAAGCGAUGUGGGUUCAGAUGGACAUCCCAGGGCAGUUUCAACAUGGCACUCUGGCUGGGCUAAUCUCUAUCUCGUCGAGGUUUCUUCCCACCAUCAUGAAUCUUCUAAGGCGACUUGCAGAAGAGGCUCAAGGGCAUCAAACUGCUGAGCCCCCCAGGCAACAAUGUUCACUCGUUUUUCAGAGUUUGAAGAAUCAAAGUCAUCCAAAUCCAACCGACUCAAUUCCAGAGUCAUCUGUAGCAUCCAACAUUUCAACAUCUGAUGGUGGUAUCGAGUACUCAAGCCCUAACGUAACACACGAAAGUAGAAAAAUUCCAGAAGCAGAACUUUCUUGAAAAAAAGGUAAUCUCAGGUAAAAUUUAUAACAAAAUAGGGUAAGCUACUCCCUCGUCCACAAAUUUUUCUUUCAAAUGAAAAAAAAGGGAUGAGACAGAAAAGUAGUCCAGGAUGCAGGAUUUCACUCAGUCCUACAUAGAGGUGUGUGUAUGACCAAAUUUUACCCCGGCUCAAUAAAAUCGGAGUCCAAAUAUUAAAAUUCAACUAAAAUUCAAAAUAUCCUAAGCUCAAAUACAACCUAAAAUAAAAAAUAAAAAAAUAAAAAAUGAAGAAAAAGAAAAAAAUCUAACAUCUUCACCUUAUGUGCCGCCCUAAGCGCCGCCUUAGUCUUCUUUUGUCUACCACUUGUAAAAAGAAAAGAUAGUAAAUAAUAAAAAAAAAAUUGUAACAAGGCUAUAAAAGUCAUCAUAAAAUCAAAUGUAAAGGGGAAGGAGGGAUAAAAAAAAAGAAAAAAAACAUUGUAUUUUCACAGAGAGAUCAAAAAUCCAAAGCAAAAAAAAAAAGGUUGAUUUUAAUUUCUUGUAUUCCCUUUGUUCAUUUUUUAUUUUUGUUAUUUUAUUUUAUUUUCUUUAUUUCAUAUAUAUAUAUAUAUAUAUAUAUAUAUAUAUAAUUUAAUUGAAUUACUUAUUUGAAUUCCUUUGCAAACAUGUUUAUAUUUUUCCCUUUAAAUCUAUUUAUGUAUACCAUUUGUUCGCCAAUUUUAAAUUAUACUUUGUUUAUUUCAAA